UAACGGCGAGUGAAGCGGCAACAGCUCAAAUUUGAAAUCUGGCCUCGGCCCGAGUUGUAAUUUGCAGAGGAUGUUUCUGGCGCGGUGCCUUCCGAGUUCCCUGGAACGGGACGCCACAGAGGGUGAGAGCCCCGUAUGGUUGGACACCAAGCCUGUGUGAAACUCCUUCGACGAGUCGAGUAGUUUGGGAAUGCUGCUCAAAAUGGGAGGUAAAUCUCUUCUAAAGCUAAAUACCGGCCAGAGACCGAUAGCGCACAAGUAGAGUGAUCGAAAGAUGAAAAGCACCUUGAAAAGGGGGUUAAACAGUACGUGAAAUUGUUGAAAGGGAAGCGCUUGUGACCAGACUUGCGCCGGGCGGCUCAUCCGGGGUUCUCCCCGGUGCACUCCGCCCGGCUCAGGCCAGCAUCGGUUCUUGUUGGGGGAUAAGAACGGCAGGAAUGUGGCCCUCCCUCGGGAGGGUGUUAUAGCCUGCCGUACGAUACCCUGACGGGGACCGAGGUUCGCGCUCCGCAAGGAUGCUGGCGUAAUGGUCAUCAGCGACCCGUCUUGAAACACGGACCAAGGAGUCGUCCAUUAGAGCGAGCGUUUGGGUGUCAAACCCGCACGCGUAAUGAAAGUGAAAUUAGGUGAGAGCUUCGGCGCAUCAUCGACCGAUCCUGAUGUUCUCGGAUGGAUUUGAGUAAGAGUUUUAACGGACGGACCCGAAAGACAGUGAACUAUGCUUGUAUAGGGUGAAGCCAGAGGAAACUCUGGUGGAGGCUCGCAGCGGUUCUGACGUGCAAAUCGAUCGUCAAAUAUGAGCAUGGGGGCGAAAGACUAAUCGAACUGUCUAGUAGCUGGUUACCGCCGAA
Molecule: ribosomal RNA, 851 nt
Filed under: Aurifilum marmelostoma
Lineage: Eukaryota; Fungi; Ascomycota; Sordariomycetes; Diaporthales; Cryphonectriaceae
Description: partial large subunit ribosomal RNA
Rfam family: Eukaryotic large subunit ribosomal RNA
Source: RNAcentral